This 522-nucleotide long non-coding RNA is filed under the name Brassica napus (rape). Its description in RNAcentral is "long non-coding RNA (BNAP_LNC019767)". Lineage: Eukaryota; Viridiplantae; Streptophyta; Magnoliopsida; Brassicales; Brassicaceae. The record is from RNAcentral.
GGGAUUUAGUAAGAUAACUAAGAUAUAGGCUUGAAGAGACUUUUAUUAGAUAGAACAAGCAAGAACAAGGGAGGUUACAAAGUAUUGAAGAUGAACCCUACUUCUAGCCGUCUAGUUCGAAUAUCUAAGCCUUCGAGGAGUCGAUCCCUUGCCUUAGGGAUUUAGGAGCCCUUAUGUUAGGGGAUUUUUGUGUAGGAUCUUUGUGAGUACCACAGAGUGAUGGAUAAGCUGGUAGUAUGUAUGUGUUUGUAAGUAUUUCGUGGGGAUUUGAGGUUAAUAAUAGAGAGAAAGACUUGAGAAGAUGUAUUAUUGAGUAAACAAGCUGGAACUACAAUGAUUGGUGUAUAAACCCCAGUUCUAGCCGCCUAGCUCUAAUCUCUAAGUAUUGAGCAGUCGAUUCCUUUCUUUUGGGACUUAGGAGCCCUUAUAUAGUCGCCUUGAAGUCGGUUUGAUUUAGGUUGAACUCUUCCAUAUUCCGAAAUAUGGAAGGUUCUCCUUAUCGGAAAUCUUCCAUUUCUUGGA